Long non-coding RNA from Panicum virgatum (switchgrass), 1147 nucleotides. RefSeq lists it as uncharacterized. The record is from RefSeq and is a predicted model, not a curated record. Lineage: Eukaryota; Viridiplantae; Streptophyta; Magnoliopsida; Poales; Poaceae. The transcript is spliced from 3 exons.
UUGCUGCAGGAUGAUGUAAAUGUGUAUAGGAGUAGUCCACCUCUCCCAGAUAUCACUCGUCCUACACACCUUCUUCCAGUGCGCACCUAACAUGAGCUUCUCAACCGAAUGAGGAUCCAGAUGAUGUAGGUGCCAUUAUGGAUUCUGAAUCUGACGAGAACUUCUCCUCUGCAGACUUUGAGGAGGAAGUUAACGAGAGUAAUAAGGACAGGAGCCCCAGCCCUAGGGUCGACUCAGGAGCUAGCCACCCAGGGCGCCGCACACUGCAACACGCAAGGGCAAGGCAUCUACCCCACCUGGGGAUACCAGGUAUGCCUCAUGAUCUCCUUUUUGUGAAAAGAAAUUUUGUCGAGUACUUUGAUUUACAUCGAGUUGCUUUUCCUUCAUCUUCUUUCUCAAUUUCAGCCCAAGGCGCACUAUGCCAAGGACUGAAGCCUCUAGGGAUGAUGUUGGGCAGAUAAAAUUGUAUGCUGUCCCAGCGGACCCUUCAAAUGAUACAGGGGUCACUCUGUCGGAACGCACAGCACUGGCGAGGGGUUUGCAGGAAGUUCCCCUGCCAGAACCUCGGACGGCGGGUGGUGAAGGCACUCCUCCCGCCCAACAAAACAUUUCUGUAUGGGGAGAGGAAGAUAUAAGCCCCCAGUAGGGGCUAUCAAUGCCUUCUGCUAGAAUAUCACUAACGUCGAGUGCUUUGGUGACCAUCCUGAUCCCAAAGUUGCUCCGGGGAAAGAAACUCCUAAUAAGGUGGUCAAAUCGCAAAGGAGCCGACUUGGGACUGGGGGAGACUAACCAAGAUAUCUCGACCCCAGGCCCCAAGCCUGUUUCUGCCACCUACGUGGUGCCGCCACCCCAGCCCCAAUCAGAAGGUAGCCCGAGACCUCCACCUGCUGCUACGAAGGAAACUCCUGCUCAGAGCGUGGCGGAGGCUCAGGCUAGAGGAGCGAGGAUGCGGCUGGUGGUGAUGGUAGUGGCUUAUUUCUUCUUGGAGCUCUAGAAAUUCCUUCAGGUCCAGCAUCCCAGUAACAAGUGUCUGCGGAGCAAAACAUCACGGAUGUUGGCACCGAAGAAGCAGAGGCACUUUAGCCGGCGACAAAGGAAUCUGCCACUCUUGAACCUGCACAAAAUCCACGGCUGCCGAAAGAAAAGA